Long non-coding RNA from Gasterosteus aculeatus aculeatus (three-spined stickleback), 1156 nucleotides. The record is from Ensembl. NCBI's taxonomy places the organism in Eukaryota, Metazoa, Chordata, Actinopteri, Perciformes, Gasterosteidae.
AAUUAGAAUUAGCUGCUGCUGAUGUGUUUGGUUUGAUUAUGAACUUUUGGGGUCAGGAAAUUAAGUGAUUGAAGAGCAGACAAUAAGGCAAACCAAAGGCUUUCUUAUGCUGAAAUUGCCCCUUGCAGAAUACGCAUUUGGUGUCUUGGAAGUCCCUCCGUGGCGUCAGUGAAGGAAUCCCAUUUCAUGGAAUGAGAGGCCAAUCUUUAAUUGCUUUCCAGGGAAUUUCUGAUGAUCUCAGGUGAGCGCAGAAAACAGCCUGACUAAUGGAAACAUGAUCUCAAGAGAUUCCUUCAGGAUCAUACUUAAUCCUGGUUUGGACUGUGGACAUAGCAUCGCCUGCAGCAGAUGUUUGCUCCUGGCAUGGCUGCAAACUGCAUGAGCUCCAUCACCGACAAUCCAGUUCUCGGGAUGCAUCGCCAGCAGCUUGGACACGGAGAAGCUGUGACACAAACUCAGCAGGACAGUGGAGUGUAUUCUGCUGCUCGGAUAUUAUGGAACAGACCGGUCAACCUCGUCUGGAGAGGCACUCGAUAGGAAAAUCAGCUCUAUGAGGCUACGAUUACCGCGGUUACCACAAUGGAUCUACACAUUGUUUGACUUUUUCUAAAUUGAACCUGGAUUAAUAUUUCCCUGUAUAUACAUCUGCUUUUGAUAUUCAGUGUUUAUUCCCGCUGUUGCUCAUUCCCUGCACUUAUAUACUGUGUUAUUCUGGAUACAGUAUCAACAAAUGCUGGAACAGUAAACGGAAAAUAAUCAGCUGUUAUUUCCUCUUUAGGUCUAUUAUUUUUACAGGAGGAAGGCAGCACUUACACCAAUCUCGUAAGGAGCAAACUAAAUGUUUUCCUGUUGAAUUAAUUAACACACAUAGGAAUUGUCACAGGGAUUACUCAAUUAAUAAACAUUCAACAUCUUCCAAUUAAGAAAAGAUAAUCCUUUAUUAGUCCAGCAGCAGGGAAAUUACAACAAUUGCCUUCACAAUGAAGCCAUUGAACCAAAGGUGCUUAUGAAUACAACUAUUGACAACUCUUUGGGAGUCUUGUUCAUUCUGGUUGAGGAAUCUUUUCCAACUCUUUGAUCUGAUAAAGACGUAUUGCUUCAUCGGACUUGUCUGUGUAACCCUCGAACAGAAAUAAAAAAGAAAAGGUGUAAUCAA